RNAcentral lists this non-coding RNA (23 nucleotides) under Arabidopsis thaliana (thale cress). Lineage: Eukaryota; Viridiplantae; Streptophyta; Magnoliopsida; Brassicales; Brassicaceae. The record is from RNAcentral.
CUUUGUAGAUGAAAAGUCAUUGC